CCAGCAGCCGCGGUAAUUCCAGCUCCAAUAGUGUAUAUUAUUUUUGCUGUAGUUAAAAAGCUCGUAGUUGGAUUUCGGGAGUUUAGCCCGUCAAGGCCGACCUAAAUGGUUUUUGGUCCGACGUUGGCACUUCCUCUUUUCGGACAGCGGCUCUCUUUUGGGAGUUGUUUCCGAUAAUUUACCGUGAACAAAUUAGAGUGUUCAAAGCAGGUUUUCAACUUUGCCUUUGAAUAGUUUAGCAUGGGAUAAUAGAAUAGGACCUCGGUUUUAUUUUGUUGGUUUCUAAAGCUGAGGUAAUGAUUAAUAGGAACAGUUGGGGUCGCUCGUAUUGAGUGGUCAGAGGUGAAAUUCUGGGAUUCACUCAAGACGAACUGAUGCGAAAGCGUUC
RNAcentral lists this ribosomal RNA (388 nucleotides) under uncultured eukaryote. RNAcentral's name for it is "SSU rRNA". It matches the Rfam family "Eukaryotic small subunit ribosomal RNA", at positions 567 to 956 of the family's 1831-position model. The record is from RNAcentral.